GAUGAACGCUGGCGGCGUGCCUAAUACAUGCAAGUCGAGCGAACAGAUGAGGAGCUUGCUCCUCUGACGUUAGCGGCUGACGGGUGAGUAACACGUGGAUAACCUACCUAUAAGACUGGGAGAACUUCGGGAAACCGGAGCUACUACCGGAUAAUAUAUUGAACCGCAUGGUUCAAUAGUGAAAGACGGUUUUGCUGUCACUUAUAGACGGAUCCGCGCCGCAUUAGCUAGUUGGUAAGGUAACGGCUCACCAAGGCAACGAUGCGUAGCUGACCUGAGAGGGUGAUCGGCCACACUGGAACUGAGACACGGUCCAGACUCCUACGGGAGGCAGCAGUAGGGAAUCUUCCGCAAUGGGCGAAAGCCUGGCGGAGCAACGCCGCGUGAGUGAUGAAGGUCUUCGGAUCGUAAAACUCUGUUAUUAGGAAAGAACAAAUGUAUAAGUAACUAUGCACGUCUUGACGGUACCUAAUCAGAAAGCCACGGCUAACUACGUG
This 497-nucleotide ribosomal RNA is filed under the name uncultured bacterium. RNAcentral's name for it is "partial 16S ribosomal RNA". It matches the Rfam family "Bacterial small subunit ribosomal RNA", at positions 28 to 507 of the family's 1533-position model. The record is from RNAcentral.